GCUGGGAGGACCACCUUCCAAGGCUAAAUACUCGCGAGCGACCGAUAGUGAACAAGUACCGUGAGGGAAAGGUGAAAAGCACCCCGGUGAGGGGAGUGAAAGAGAACCUGAAACCGUGUGUCUACAAGCGGUGGAAGCCCGGUGAUGCCUGGGGCGACCUGGUCAUCUGGGCGACUGCGUACCUUUUGCAUAAUGGGCCGACGAGUUACUCUGCGUAGCAAGGUUAAGCCGUGAGGUGAAGCCGUAGCGAAAGCGAGUCUGAAGAGGGCGUGCAGUUACGUGGAGUAGACCCGAAGCCGGAUGAGCUACCCAUGGCCAGGGUGAAACCGGUUUACCAGCCGGUGGAGGCCCGAACCCGUCAAGGUUGAAAACUUGUGGGAUGAGCUGUGGGUAGGAGUGAAAAGCUAAGCGAAUUCGGUGAUAGCUGGUUCUCCCCGAAAGAUAUUUAGGUAUCGCCUCCCGAGGUGGCUGAUGGCGGUAGAGCACUGGAUGGACAAGGGGCCCCACCAGGCUACCAACUCCAACCAAACUCCGAAUGCCAUCAAGACCGAUCGGGGGAGACAGACUGUGGGGGCUAAGCUCCAUGGUCGAGAGGGAAACAGCCCAGACCGCCAGCUAAGGUCCCAAAAUCCCGGCUAAGUGGGAAAGGUUGUCGAGACGCCUAGACAGCCAGGAGGUUGGCUUAGAAGCAGCCAUCCUUUAAAGAAAGCGUAACAGCUCACUGGUCAAGUGGCUCGGCGCCGAAAAUCCAACGGGGCUCAAGCCGGGUACCGAAGCUGCGGCUCUCUCUGACAAGAGAGGGGGUAGGGGAGCGUUCCCUGCCGCGUCGAAGGCAGAUCGGAAGGACUGCUGGAGCGCAGGGAAGUGACUAUGUCGGCAUAAGUAACGAUAAAACGGGUGAAAAACCCGUUCGCCGAAAACCCAAGGUUUCCUGGGGAAGGGUAAUCCUCCCAGGGUUAGUCGGUCCCUAAGCCGAGGCCGUCAGGCGUAGGUGAUGGGAAACGGGUUAAUAUUCCCGUACCACCGGCAGGGCGUUAUUCAGCGAUGGGGUGACGGAGAAGGGUAGACCAGCCGACGAUUGGUCGUGUCGGUUGAAGCCGGUAGGAGGAUGGCCCAGGCAAAUCCGGGCUGUCGCUAACUCCGAGAGGCGAGUACGAGAGGCCUAGCCUCAUAAAGUGGUUGAGCCCAUGCUUCCAAGAAAAACCUCUAGUGAGUCCUGUAGGUGACCGUACCGGAAACCGACGCAGGUGGGUGGGGUGAGCAACCCGAGGCGCUUGAGAGAACCGUCGUUAAGGAACUCGGCAAAAUGACCCCGUAACUUCGGGAGAAGGGGUGCCUCAUUAGGCUGAAAGGGCUUGCCCCUGGAGGCCGAAGAGGCCGCAGAGAAAUGGCUCAGGCGACUGUUUACUUAAAACACAGGACUCUGCUAACGCGCAAGCGGAUGUAUAGGGUCUGACGCCUGCCCGGUGCUGGAAGGUUAAGGGGAGGGGUUAGUGGCGGCAACGCUGCGAAGCUCUGAACUGAAGCCCCAGUAAACGGCGGCCGUAACUAUAACGGUCCUAAGGUAGCGAAAUUCCUUGUCGGGUAAGUUCCGACCUGCAUGAAUGGCGUAACGACUUGAGCGCUCUCUCAACGACGGACUCAGUGAAAUUGUAGUGCCAGUGAAAAUGCUGGCUACCCACGACGGGACGGAAAGACCCCGUGCAGCUUUACUAUACCUUGUCAUUGGAGUUUGAUGUUGGAUGUGUAGGAUAGGUGGGAGGCGUAGAAGCGGGAGCGCUAGCUCUCGUGGAGCCACCGUUGAAAUACCACCCUUCCUUCAUUGAGCUUCUAACCUCAAGCCGUCAGCCGGUUGAGGGACAGUGAUAGGCGGGUAGUUUGACUGGGGCGGUCGCCUCCUAAACUGUAACGGAGGCGCCCCAAGGUCCCCUCAG
Molecule: ribosomal RNA, 1934 nt
Filed under: soil metagenome
Description: bacterial LSU rRNA
Rfam family: Bacterial large subunit ribosomal RNA
Source: RNAcentral